UGCGUAGGCGGGCUAAUAAGUCAGUGGUGUAAUCUCUCGGCUCAACCGGGAAACUGCCAUUGAUACUGUUAGUCUUGAGUUCGGUUGAGGUAGGCGGAAUGUGUAAUGUAGCGGUGAAAUGCUUAGAUAUUACACAGAACACCAAUUGCGUAGGCAGCUUACUAGACCGACACUGACGCUGAGGCACGAAAGCGUGGGGAGCGAACAGGAUUAGAUACCCUGGUAGUCC
RNAcentral lists this ribosomal RNA (229 nucleotides) under uncultured bacterium. RNAcentral describes it as "partial 16S ribosomal RNA". It matches the Rfam family "Bacterial small subunit ribosomal RNA", at positions 568 to 796 of the family's 1533-position model. The record is from RNAcentral.